This 1122-nucleotide ribosomal RNA is filed under the name Salmonella enterica. RNAcentral's name for it is "partial 23S ribosomal RNA". It matches the Rfam family "Bacterial large subunit ribosomal RNA", at positions 599 to 1637 of the family's 2925-position model. The record is from RNAcentral. Lineage: Bacteria; Pseudomonadati; Pseudomonadota; Gammaproteobacteria; Enterobacterales; Enterobacteriaceae. RNAcentral also lists the same sequence under 1 other name.
GCGUACCUUUUGUAUAAUGGGUCAGCGACUUAUAUUCUGUAGCAAGGUUAACCGUAUAGGGGAGCCGGAGGGAAACCGAGUCUUAAUUGGGCGUUAAGUUGCAGGGUAUAGACCCGAAACCCGGUGAUCUAGCCAUGGGCAGGUUGAAGGUUGGGUAACACUAACUGGAGGACCGAACCGACUAAUGUUGAAAAAUUAGCGGAUGACCUGUGGCUGGGGGUGAAAGGCCAAUCAAACCGGGAGAUAGCUGGUUCUCCCCGAAAGCUAUUUAGGUAGCGCCUCGUGAAUUCAUCUCCGGGGGUAGAGCACUGUUUCGGCUAGGGGGCCAUCCCGGCUUACCAACCCGAUGCAAACUGCGAAUACCGGAGAAUGUUAUCACGGGAGACACACGGCGGGUGCUAACGUCCGUCGUGAAGAGGGAAACAACCCAGACCGCCAGCUAAGGUCCCAAAGUCAUGGUUAAGUGGGAAACGAUGUGGGAAGGCCCAGACAGCCAGGAUGUUGGCUUAGAAGCAGCCAUCAUUUAAAGAAAGCGUAAUAGCUCACUGGUCGAGUCGGCCUGCGCGGAAGAUGUAACGGGGCUAAACCAUGCACCGAAGCUGCGGCAGCGAACGUAUCACCCAAGACAACUUUACGGAGUUGACGAUUGACGGAGCGAAGCGACGUCAAAGCGUUCAUUAAAGUCGAGUUGGCUUAGGGAUACGUUCGUUGGGUAGGGGAGCGUUCUGUAAGCCUGUGAAGGUGUGUCGUGAGGCAUGCUGGAGGUAUCAGAAGUGCGAAUGCUGACAUAAGUAACGAUAAAGCGGGUGAAAAGCCCGCUCGCCGGAAGACCAAGGGUUCCUGUCCAACGUUAAUCGGGGCAGGGUGAGUCGACCCCUAAGGCGAGGCCGAAAGGCGUAGUCGAUGGGAAACGGGUUAAUAUUCCCGUACUUGGUGUUACUGCGAAGGGGGGACGGAGAAGGCUAUGUUGGCCGGGCGACGGUUGUCCCGGUUUAAGCGUGUAGGUGUGUGUUCCAGGUAAAUCCGGUUCACUUUAACACUGAGGCGUGACGACGAGGCACUACGGUGCUGAAGCAACAAAUGCCCUGCUUCCAGGAAAAGCCUCUAAGCAUCAGGUAACAC